Molecule: ribosomal RNA, 510 nt
Filed under: uncultured bacterium
Lineage: Bacteria
Description: bacterial SSU rRNA
Rfam family: Bacterial small subunit ribosomal RNA
Source: RNAcentral
GGGUAUCUACCCUUUGGCCUGGAAUAACACGAGGAAACUUGUGCUAAUACUGGAUAAGUCUUUACGGAGAAAGCUUUAUGCACCAUUGGAUGAGCCCGCACUUGAUUAGUUUGUUGGUGGGGUAAUGGCCUACCAAGACUUUGAUCAAUAGCUGAUUUGAGAGGAUGAUCAGCCACAUUGGGACUGAGACACGGCCCAAACUCCUACGGGAGGCAGCAGUGGGGAAUCUUGCACAAUGGAGGAAACUCUGAUGCAGCGAUGCCGCGUGAGUGAAGAAGGCCCUUGGGUUGUAAAGCUCUUUCGUCGGGGAAGAAAAUGACUGUACCCGAAUAAGAAGGUCCGGCUAACUUCGUGCCAGCAGCCGCGGUAAUACGAAGGGACCUAGCGUAGUUCGGAAUUACUGGGCUUAAAGAGUUCGUAGGUGGUUGAAAAAGUUGGUGGUGAAAUCCCAGAGCUUAACUCUGGAACUGCCAUCAAAACUUUUCAGCUAGAGUUUGAUAGAGGAAAGCA